CUUCCCUUGUGGCUCAGUGGUAAAGAACCCCCGUGCCAAGGCAAGAGACAUGGGUUCAAUCCCUGGGUUGGGAAGAUCCACUAGAGAAGGAAAUGGCAACCCACUCCANNNNNNNNNNNNNNNNNNNNNNNNNNNNNNNNNNNNNNNNNNNNNNNNNNNNCAUGGGGUCACAAAGAGUUGGACACGACUGAGUGACUGAACAACAGCAACAAGAUACUAUAUCCAGGUCAAGUUGGCAAACACCAAGUUAGGCUAGUUAAAGGAAGGAUAAGUUAGAAGGUUCUAUUUUAAGAGGGUGGGUUGAAAACACGUUUUUCUCCACUUGUUACCACUAAAGAACAACAAUGAUAAAUAAAUAGAAGGGGUCUUCAGUGGAUGAAAGGUUUUAACAUAGUACCAGCAGCAGCAGAGAGAAGGAAAGUGGAUGAAGGUAUGAUGGUGAAGUUAUAAGGAGGAAGCCAGAGGGAAGGCUGUAUUUAAAAAAGGGCUAAAGGGAGCCAGGGAAGAGAUUCUUCCUGGAGAAAUUCAGACCCAAAGAUGGUGAGGGUCCAGAGGCUGGCAGUCCCGUGUUUCUCACCAAGCAAAGAAGUCAAGAGGUUUCCUUUAGAGAAAUGGACCUGGUUGGGUGGGGAUGGGCUAGCGGUUUAGGAAAUCUGAAAUUUUGGAGAUUCCCAGCCAAAGGGCUGUCCAUUCAGCCAUGUACCCUGAGCUCCCCAUCAGCCUUCUCAUUCAGACCUAAUGAGGAAACACCUACUUACACAACAGCAGAGAAAACUUACAUCAGUCACCUAUAAGCAAUCUAGUCCGAGGAAAACUUAGAAUCAUCAGACAUAUGUGGACGCCAGGAAUGUGAAAAGUAAACAAGCAAAAAAAAACUGAACUUGGAAAAUCAAGAAGUUAAAAAUUCUGACUUCUAUCACCAUGGAGAAGACAUUAUAUCCAUAAAACAAGAAAAGAAUAAAAUCCAUAAAGAGCUCAAGGAAACAAUAUAUACUGCUCUUUGUACCUCGCUGUAGAAAUCUUUACCUUUCGCACGUAGAACAACAAUCAUCCAGAACUGAUUCUGUGUACUGUUUGGGUAUGGAUGAAUACUUGUUUUUCACGUGUAAUAUGCAAAAGUGAUCCAAUUCUAUUUGAAAAGGACUUUCUUUUGCAAAUAUUCUGUACUGUCAUAAACUUCAGGGUG
Molecule: long non-coding RNA, 1186 nt
Filed under: Capra hircus (goat)
Lineage: Eukaryota; Metazoa; Chordata; Mammalia; Artiodactyla; Bovidae
Description: lncRNA (ENSCHIG00010013730.1)
Source: RNAcentral